This is a small nucleolar RNA of Carassius auratus (goldfish), 75 nucleotides long. NCBI's taxonomy places the organism in Eukaryota, Metazoa, Chordata, Actinopteri, Cypriniformes, Cyprinidae. The record is from Ensembl.
UUAUGAUGAAACCUAAACUGAUAAUAGCUGGAAUUACCGUCAGAUUGAUCAGUGGUGAUAAACGGUUUUCUGAUU